This 466-nucleotide ribosomal RNA is filed under the name uncultured bacterium. RNAcentral describes it as "partial 16S ribosomal RNA". It matches the Rfam family "Bacterial small subunit ribosomal RNA", at positions 28 to 507 of the family's 1533-position model. The record is from RNAcentral.
GACGAACGCUGGCGGCGUGCUUAACACAUGCAAGUCGAACGGAAAGGCCCUGCUUGCCGGGUACUCGAGUGGCGAACGGGUGAGUAACACGUGGGUGAUCUGCCCUGCACUUCGGGAUAAGCCUGGGAAACUGGGUCUAAUACCGGAUAGGAGCCAUUUUUAGUGUGAUGGUUGGAAAGUUUUUUUCGGUGUAGGAUGAGCUCGCGGCCUAUCAGCUUGUUGGUGGGGUAAUGGCCUACCAAGGCGGCGACGGGUAGCCGGCCUGAGAGGGUGGACGGCCACAUUGGGACUGAGAUACGGCCCAGACUCCUACGGGAGGCAGCAGGGGGGAAUAUUGCACAAUGGGCGCAAGCCUGAUGCAGCGACGCCGCGUGGGGGAUGACGGCCUUCGGGUUGUAAACUCCUUUCGCUAGGGACGAAGCUUUUUGUGACGGUACCUAGAUAAGAAGCACCGGCUAACUACGUG